UCACUAGAACCCCCUCUGCCUCUAGGCGCUCCGCAGACAUCAGGAGUGGAAACAAUUCAGAGACAUUUGGAAAAAAAAAAAACCCAAAACCCAAGCUGGCUUGUCGUUUCUGUCACUGUCAUACUUCAGAAAGAUCUACUGGGGGCAAUCAGAGAAGAAUAGGUCUGUAAAACUCAGCGUUUCCCUAUUAGCUUUCAAAAGUUUUGCACAACAUACUUUAUGUGUGUUUAUAGAAAAGAAAAAAAAAAAAAAAAACGAAGACCCACAUUGAUUGAAAAAAUGUGUUGUUAUUGAAAGGGCCGAGUUGAACUCUCUGCAGAGCGUGGUGCUCGACAAGACUUGGAAGGCGAAGAUUUCACAUAAAUAGUUGUGCCGAGUUGUUAUGGCAACUGAAAUUUGAAAAGUAAAUAGGUUUAGGGGAAAUAUUUUCCCUUGUCUCUGGAGGAGUUUUCUGUUGCGGAUCAUUUGCAAAAGGAGGAGUUACUUCGAUGCCCAGUGGAUUUGGUGUAUGUUGUUGAAGGACAGACGUGUGGGGUUCCUGUGCUGGGGGCGGUCUCCGUGCCCAUGGGGCAGCUGCUUUCCUUUCAUCAAGUAGGGGUUGAGAUGGGUGGCAGGGUCACGCACGCUGUGUGGCUGUGCACCAAUGACUUGCCCUCUCUGGGCGUCCACUUUUCUCUCUAUAGAAUAGUUUGGUGGAAACGCACAGUCAUACAGAGAAGAGCUGUACAUGCCCCAUGGCAUAUAAGCCUCAUGGCAGCAGAGACCAGGUUGGCGCUGGGUACAUUGACUCCAUUCGUGGUUGCUGACCGAGGCGCAGAGCAGUAAAAGGAUGAUGGAAUUUGGGCUGCUCAGCAUUGGCAGAAACUGGAAAAGUCUACUUAUCUUGAAGUGGAUAGUCUGGCAGAAAAAUACUGUCAACAGCCGUGUUCGUAGUCCAGUAUUAAUAACGACAAUAAAUGCAGUGCUAUUUAUCGAAGCA
RNAcentral lists this long non-coding RNA (979 nucleotides) under Bos indicus x Bos taurus (hybrid cattle). Its description in RNAcentral is "lncRNA (ENSBIXG00000013742.1)". Lineage: Eukaryota; Metazoa; Chordata; Mammalia; Artiodactyla; Bovidae. The record is from RNAcentral.